RNAcentral lists this ribosomal RNA (292 nucleotides) under uncultured bacterium. RNAcentral's name for it is "partial 16S ribosomal RNA". It matches the Rfam family "Bacterial small subunit ribosomal RNA", at positions 505 to 796 of the family's 1533-position model. The record is from RNAcentral.
GUGCCAGCAGCCGCGGUAAUACGGGGGGGGUAAGCGUUGUUCGGAAUUACUGGGCGUAAAGGGCUCGUAGGCGGCCAACUAAGUCAGACGUGAAAUCCCUCAGCUUAACUGGGGAACUGCGUCUGAUACUGGAUGGCUUGGAUCCGGGAGAGGGAUGCGGAAUUCCAGGUGUAGCGGUGAAAUGCGUAGAUAUCUGGAGGAACACCGGUGGCGAAGGCGGCAUCCUGGACCGGUAUUGACGCUGAGGAGCGAAAGCCAGGGGAGCAAACGGGAUUAGAUACCCUAGUAGUCC